UACGAAGGGGGCAAGCGUUGUUCGGAAUUACUGGGCGUAAAGGGCGCGUAGGCGGCUUAUCAAGUCGGGCGUGAAAUCUCCGGGCUUAACCUGGAAGGGUCGUUCGAUACUGUCGAGCUAGAGUGUGGAAGAGGCUACUGGAAUUCCGUGUGUAGCGGUGAAAUGCGUAGAUAUCAUGAGGAACACCAGAGGCGAAGGCGGCUACCUGGACAGUUACUGACGCUCAGGCACGAAAGCGUGGGGAGCAAAAGGG
RNAcentral lists this ribosomal RNA (253 nucleotides) under uncultured bacterium. Its description in RNAcentral is "partial 16S ribosomal RNA". It matches the Rfam family "Bacterial small subunit ribosomal RNA", at positions 524 to 776 of the family's 1533-position model. The record is from RNAcentral.